RNAcentral lists this transfer RNA (74 nucleotides) under Variovorax sp. OK212. RNAcentral describes it as "tRNA_Pro_TGG". It matches the Rfam family "tRNA". From Rfam's summary of the family: Transfer RNA (tRNA) molecules are approximately 80 nucleotides in length. Their secondary structure includes four short double-helical elements and three loops (D, anti-codon, and T loops). Further hydrogen bonds mediate the characteristic L-shaped molecular structure. tRNAs have two regions of fundamental functional importance: the anti-codon, which is responsible for specific mRNA codon recognition, and the 3' end, to which the tRNAs corresponding amino acid is attached (by aminoacyl-tRNA synthetases). tRNAs cope with the degeneracy of the genetic code in two manners: having more than one tRNA (with a specific anti-codon) for a particular amino acid; and 'wobble' base-pairing, i.e. permitting non-standard base-pairing at the 3rd anti-codon position. The record is from RNAcentral. Lineage: Bacteria; Pseudomonadati; Pseudomonadota; Betaproteobacteria; Burkholderiales; Comamonadaceae. RNAcentral also lists the same sequence under 1 other name.
CGGGGUAUAGCUCAGCCUGGCAGAGCGCGGCGUUUGGGACGCCGAUGUCGCACGUUCGAAUCGUGCUUCCCCGA